CAGGCUUAACACAUGCAAGUCGAGGGGCAUCAGGAAGAAAGCUUGCUUUCUUUGCUGGCGACCGGCGCACGGGUGAGUAACACGUAUCCAACCUGCCCUUUACUCGGGGAUAGCCUUUCGAAAGAAAGAUUAAUACCCGAUGGCAUAAUGAUUCCGCAUGGUUUCAUUAUUAAAGGAUUCCGGUAAAGGAUGGGGAUGCGUUCCAUUAGGUUGUUGGUGAGGUAACGGCUCACCAAGCCUUCGAUGGAUAGGGGUUCUGAGAGGAAGGUCCCCCACAUUGGAACUGAGACACGGUCCAAACUCCUACGGGAGGCAGCAGUGAGGAAUAUUGGUCAAUGGGCGCUAGCCUGAACCAGCCAAGUAGCGUGAAGGAUGAAGGCUCUAUGGGUCGUAAACUUCUUUUAUAUAAGAAUAAAGUGCAGUAUGUAUACUGUUUUGUAUGUAUUAUAUGAAUAAGGAUCGGCUAACUCCGUGCCAGCAGCCGCGGUAAUACGGAGGAUCCGAGCGUUAUCCGGAUUUAUUGGGUUUAAAGGGAGCGUAGGUGGACUGGUAAGUCAGUUGUGAAAGUUUGCGGCUCAACCGUAAAAUUGCAGUUGAUACUGUCAGUCUUGAGUACAGUAGAGGUGGGCGGAAUUCGUGGUGUAGCGGUGAAAUGCUUAGAUAUCACGAAGAACUCCGAUUGCGAAGGCAGCUCACUGGACUGCAACUGACACUGAUGCUCGAAAGUGUGGGUAUCAAACAGGAUUAGAUACCCUGGUAGUCCACACAGUAAACGAUGAAUACUCGCUGUUUGCGAUAUACAGUAAGCGGCCAAGCGAAAGCAUUAAGUAUUCCACCUGGGGAGUACGCCGGCAACGGUGAAACUCAAAGGAAUUGACGGGGGCCCGCACAAGCGGAGGAACAUGUGGUUUAAUUCGAUGAUACGCGAGGAACCUUACCCGGGCUUAAAUUGCAGUGGAAUGAUGUGGAAACAUGUCAGUGAGCAAUCACCGCUGUGAAGGUGUUGCAUGGUUGUCGUCAGCUCGUGCCGUGAGGUGUCGGCUUAAGUGCCAUAACGAGCGCAACCCUUAUCUUUAGUUACUAACAGGUUAUGCUGAGGACUCUAGAGAGACUGCCGUCGUAAGAUGUGAGGAAGGUGGGGAUGACGUCAAAUCAGCACGGCCCUUACGUCCGGGGCUACACACGUGUUACAAUGGGGGGUACAGAAGGCAGCUAGCGGGUGACCGUAUGCUAAUCCCAAAAGCCUCUCUCAGUUCGGAUCGAAGUCUGCAACCCGACUUCGUGAAGCUGGAUUCGCUAGUAAUCGCGCAUCAGCCACGGCGCGGUGAAUACGUUCCCGGGCCUUGUACACACCGCCCGUCAAGCCAUGGGAGCCGGGGGUACCUGAAGUACGUAACAGCAAGGAUCGUCCUAGGGUAAAACUGGUGACUGGG
This 1433-nucleotide ribosomal RNA is filed under the name uncultured organism. Its description in RNAcentral is "16S ribosomal RNA". It matches the Rfam family "Bacterial small subunit ribosomal RNA". The record is from RNAcentral.